This 434-nucleotide ribosomal RNA is filed under the name uncultured archaeon. RNAcentral's name for it is "bacterial SSU rRNA". It matches the Rfam family "Archaeal small subunit ribosomal RNA", at positions 19 to 458 of the family's 1478-position model. The record is from RNAcentral.
GGACCUGACUGCUAUCGGAUUGAUACUAAGCCAUGCGAGUCUUUGUAGUAAUACAAGGCAGACGGCUCAGUAACGCGUAGUCAAUCUACCCUAUGGACGAGGAUAACCUCGGGAAACUGAGAAUAAUACUCGAUAGAACAUUAUGCCUGGAAUGGUUUAUGUUCCAAAUGAUUUAUCGCCGUAGGAUGGGACUGCGGCCUAUCAGUUUGUUGGUGAGGUAAUGGCCCACCAAGACUAUUACAGGUACGGGCUCUGAGAGGAGUGGCCCGGAGAUGGGUACUGAGACACGGACCCAGGCCCUAUGGGGCGCAGCAGGCGAGAAAACUUUGCAAUGUGCGAAAGCACGACAAGGUUAAUCCGAGUGGUUUCUGCUAAAGAGACCUUUUGUCGGUCCUAGAAACACCGAUGAAUAAGGGGUGGGCGAGUUCUGGUGU